This 439-nucleotide ribosomal RNA is filed under the name uncultured bacterium. Its description in RNAcentral is "bacterial SSU rRNA". It matches the Rfam family "Bacterial small subunit ribosomal RNA", at positions 28 to 449 of the family's 1533-position model. The record is from RNAcentral.
GAUGAACGCUGGCGGCGUGCUUAACACAUGCAAGUCGAGCGAAGCACCUAAGAAAGAUUCUUCGGAUGAAUUCUUUUGUGACUGAGCGGCGGACGGGUGAGUAACGCGUGGGUAACCUGCCUCAUACAGGGGGAUAACAGUUAGAAAUGACUGCUAAUACCGCAUAAGACCACGGUACCGCAUGGUACAGUGGUAAAAACUCCGGUGGUAUGAGAUGGACCCGCGUCUGAUUAGCUGGUUGGUGGGGUAACGGCCUACCAAGGCGACGAUCAGUAGCCGACCUGAGAGGGUGACCGGCCACAUUGGGACUGAGACACGGCCCAAACUCCUACGGGAGGCAGCAGUGGGGAAUAUUGCACAAUGGGGGAAACCCUGAUGCAGCGACGCCGCGUGAAGGAUGAAGUAUUUCGGUAUGUAAACUUCUAUCAGCAGGGAAGAA